GCCGGAGUGGCGGAAUGGCAGACGCAGAGGACUCAAAAUCCUCCGAGGUCACACUCGUGUGGGUUCGAAUCCCACCUCCGGCACCA
RNAcentral lists this transfer RNA (86 nucleotides) under candidate division BRC1 bacterium HGW-BRC1-1. RNAcentral's name for it is "tRNA-Leu". It matches the Rfam family "tRNA". Rfam says of the family: Transfer RNA (tRNA) molecules are approximately 80 nucleotides in length. Their secondary structure includes four short double-helical elements and three loops (D, anti-codon, and T loops). Lineage: Bacteria; Candidatus Sumerlaeota. The record is from RNAcentral.